GAGGACAACAGUUGGAAACGACUGCUAAUACUCUAUACUCCUCUUUAACAUAAGUUAGAUAGGGAAAGUUUUUCGGUGUAGGAUGAGGCUAUAUUGUAUCAGCUAGUUGGUGAGGUAAUGGCUCACCAAGGCUAUGACGCAUAACUGGUCUGAGAGGAUGAUCAGUCACACUGGAACUGAGACACGGUCCAGACUCCUACGGGAGGCAGCAGUAGGGAAUAUUGCUCAAUGGGGGAAACCCUGAAGCAGCAACGCCGCGUGGAGGAUGACACUUUUCGGAGCGUAAACUCCUUUUGUUAGGGAAGAACAAUGACGGUACCUAACGAAUAAGCACCGGCUAACUCCGUGCCAGCAGCCGCGGUAAUACGGAGGGUGCAAGCGUUACUCGGAAUCACUGGGCGUAAAGGACGCGUAGGCGGAUUAUCAAGUCUCUUGUGAAAUCCUAUGGCUUAACCAUAGAACUGCUUGGGAAACUGAUAAUCUAGAGUGAGGGAGAGGCAGAUGGAAUUGGUGGUGUAGGGGUAAAAUCCGUAGAGAUCACCAGGAAUACCCAUUGCGAAGGCGAUCUGCUGGAACUCAACUGACGCUAAUGCGUGAAAGCGUGGGGAGCAAACAGGAUUAGAUACCCUGGUAGUCCACGCCCUAAACGAUGUAUACUAGUUGUUGCUAAGCUAGUCUUGGCAGUAAUGCACCUAACGGAUUAAGUAUACCGCCUGGGGAGUACGGUCGCAAGAUUAAAACUCAAAGGAAUAGACGGGGACCCGCACAAGCGGUGGAGCAUGUGGUUUAAUUCGAAGAUACGCGAAGAACCUUACCCGGACUUGAUAUCUAACAAAUCAUCUAGAGAUAGAAGAGUGUCUGCUCGCAGAAAUGUUAAGACAGGUGCUGCACGGCUGUCGUCAGCUCGUGUCGUGAGAUGUUGGGUUAAGUCCCGCAACGAGCGCAACCCACGUCAUUAGUUGCUAACAGUUCGGCUGAGCACUCUAAUGAGACUGCCUUCGUAAGGAGGAGGAAGGUGUGGACGACGUCAAGUCAUCAUGGCCCUUAUGUCCGGGGCGACA
RNAcentral lists this ribosomal RNA (1061 nucleotides) under Campylobacter concisus. RNAcentral's name for it is "bacterial SSU rRNA". It matches the Rfam family "Bacterial small subunit ribosomal RNA", at positions 139 to 1218 of the family's 1533-position model. The record is from RNAcentral. Lineage: Bacteria; Pseudomonadati; Campylobacterota; Epsilonproteobacteria; Campylobacterales; Campylobacteraceae.